This 508-nucleotide ribosomal RNA is filed under the name uncultured bacterium. Its description in RNAcentral is "partial 16S ribosomal RNA". It matches the Rfam family "Bacterial small subunit ribosomal RNA", at positions 28 to 523 of the family's 1533-position model. The record is from RNAcentral.
GAUGAACGCUAGCUACAGGCUUAACACAUGCAAGUCGAGGGGAAACGAUAUUGGAAGCUUGCCUCCGAUAGGCGUCGACCGGCGCACGGGUGAGUAACGCGUAUCCAACCUGCCCACCACUUGGGAAUAACCUUGCGAAAGUAAGACUAAUACCCAAUGAUAUCUCUAGAAGACAUCUGAAGGAGAUUAAAGAUUUAUCGGUGAUGGAUGGGGAUGCGUCUGAUUAGCUUGUUGGCGGGGUAACGGCCCACCAAGGCGACGAUCAGUAGGGGUUCUGAGAGGAAGGUCCCCCACAUUGGAACUGAGACACGGUCCAAACUCCUACGGGAGGCAGCAGUGAGGAAUAUUGGUCAAUGGGCGAGAGCCUGAACCAGCCAAGUAGCGUGCAGGAUGACGGCCCUAUGGGUUGUAAACUGCUUUUAUAAGGGAAUAAAGUGAGUCUCGUGAGACUUUUUGCAUGUACCUUAUGAAUAAGGACCGGCUAAUUCCGUGCCAGCAGCCGCAGUAA